RNAcentral lists this ribosomal RNA (107 nucleotides) under Clostridium thermopalmarium DSM 5974. RNAcentral describes it as "partial 23S ribosomal RNA". It matches the Rfam family "Bacterial large subunit ribosomal RNA", at positions 2819 to 2925 of the family's 2925-position model. Lineage: Bacteria; Bacillati; Bacillota; Clostridia; Eubacteriales; Clostridiaceae. The record is from RNAcentral.
GUUUAACUAGUAAGAUCCCUGGAAGACUACCAGGUUGAUAGGUCAGAGGUGUAAGUGCAGUAAUGCAUUAAGCUGACUGAUACUAAUAGAUCGAGGACUUGAUCAAA